AUUGAACGCUGGCGGCAGGCCUAACACAUGCAAGUCGAGCGGUAGAGAGAAGCUUGCUUCUCUUGAGAGCGGCGGACGGGUGAGUAAUGCCUAGGAAUCUGCCUGGUAGUGGGGGAUAGCGUUCGGAAACGGACGCUAAUACCGCAUACGUCCUACGGGAGAAAGCAGGGGACCUUCGGGCCUUGCGCUAUCAGAUGAGCCUAGGUCGGAUUAGCUAGUUGGUGAGGUAAUGGCUCACCAAGGCGACGAUCCGUAACUGGUCUGAGAGGAUGAUCAGUCACACUGGAACUGAGACACGGUCCAGACUCCUACGGGAGGCAGCAGUGGGGAAUAUUGGACAAUGGGCGAAAGCCUGGUCCAGCCAUGCCGCGUGUGUGAAGAAGGUCCUCGGAUUGUAAAGCACUUUAAGUUGGGAGGAAGGGUUGUAGAUUAAUACUCUGCAAUUUUGACGUUACCGACAGAAUAAGCACCGGCUAACUCUGUGCCAGCCGCCGCCGUAA
RNAcentral lists this ribosomal RNA (500 nucleotides) under uncultured bacterium. RNAcentral's name for it is "partial 16S ribosomal RNA". It matches the Rfam family "Bacterial small subunit ribosomal RNA", at positions 30 to 523 of the family's 1533-position model. The record is from RNAcentral.